This 371-nucleotide ribosomal RNA is filed under the name uncultured eukaryote. Its description in RNAcentral is "bacterial SSU rRNA". It matches the Rfam family "Eukaryotic small subunit ribosomal RNA", at positions 9 to 562 of the family's 1831-position model. The record is from RNAcentral.
UGAUCCUGCCAGCAGUCAUACGCUUGCUUCAAGGAUUAAGCCAUGCAAGUGCUGAGUAAAUGGACUUACAGUUGAUCUGCGAACGGCUCAUUAUGCCAGUCGUAAUCUGCCCGGAUAAGUGGCUUAGCCAUCGAGUGGAUACCUUCACUAAGUGGCUUUUACGGGUAACAGAGGAUCAGGGUUCGACUCUGGAGAGGGAGCCUGAGAAACGGCUACCAUGUCUAAGGACAGCAGCAGGCGCGCAAAUUGCCCAAUGCUAACACGAGCGAGGCAGCGACGAGAAGUAUUUACUUCGUUACACUUUUUUGUGACCUGGAUAGAAAUGGAUGGCAUGCAAAACCACCACAGAGGAUCGAUCGGAGGGCAAGUCU